UUAAGGAUAACCCGACAGGUUUCAUCCAUUUAGAAAUCAAAAAAUAAAAUAAUACAUGUCAAUGUUUUCAAUUGCAGACAUUUUGCUAGCGUUAGCAUGCUAAUAUGGUCUCAAAGCAGAACAAUAAAUCCAGCUUUACGUCUGUUACCUUGUUGUCUUCCAAAGACAGGCCGCCUGCUGCCAACAGGAAUCUUCUGGACAGAAAAUCAACAGUUCUACACAGAAUGAGACGUGCUGUGAUAAAGUGUUUGGUUUUAGUUCCCUUCGGGUCGCGGAGUUUGAGUCCAAACUGCUUUUCAAACCGGGAAGUGACGGGAGAACAAAACGGUUUCUGAAGAUGAACGUCAACCAACACGCCGUCCUGUUUGGAGAAUCUGCAGAAAAAUGGGUGAAAUCCUCCAAACAAACCGUUUUUAGUGUUCUUCUGAGGAAACGUGCAGAAGGAUGUCCUUUUUCUUUUCCUGGCCGUCUCCGUUUCAGACUUCCUGUCCCACGCCGUGCAUCCUCUGAGCGGCUCCUUGAUCGGAGCGACCGGGAUCAUCCCAAACCCGUCCUCAGUGAUGCUUGGAGACGGUCAUCAGAUCCAACAGAUCUUUGCUCUCCGUUUGGUCUCACAUGAACUCAUGUCUUGAUAAAAUAAAAACUACUGAA
Oryzias melastigma (Indian medaka) is the source of this 651-nucleotide long non-coding RNA. RefSeq lists it as uncharacterized. NCBI's taxonomy places the organism in Eukaryota, Metazoa, Chordata, Actinopteri, Beloniformes, Adrianichthyidae. The transcript has 2 exons. The record is from RefSeq and is a predicted model, not a curated record.